This 453-nucleotide ribosomal RNA is filed under the name uncultured microorganism. RNAcentral describes it as "bacterial SSU rRNA". It matches the Rfam family "Bacterial small subunit ribosomal RNA", at positions 9 to 447 of the family's 1533-position model. The record is from RNAcentral.
GAGUUUGAUCUUGACUCAGGAUGAACGCUGGCGGCGUGCCUAAUACAUGCAAGUCGAGCGAACGGACGAGAAGCUUUGCUUCUCUGAUGUUAGCGGCGGACGGGUGAGUAACACGUGGGUAACCUACCUAUAAGACUGGGAUAACUCCGGGAAACCGGGGCUAAUACCGGAUAACACAUGAAACCGCAUGGUUUCAUGAUGAAAGACGGUCUUGCUGUCACUUAUAGAUGGAUCCGCGCUAGCAUUAGCUAGUUGGUAAGGUACGGCUUACCAAGGUCAACGAUGCAUAGCCGACCUGAGAGGGUGAUCGGCCACACUGGAACUGAGACACGGUCCAGACUCCUACGGGAGGCAGCAGUAGGGAAUCUUCCGCAAUGGGCGAAAGCCUGACGGAGCAAACGCCGCGUGAGUGGUGAAGGUCUUCGGGAUCGUAAAACUCUGUUAUUAGGGAAG